Molecule: ribosomal RNA, 433 nt
Filed under: uncultured bacterium
Lineage: Bacteria
Description: partial 16S ribosomal RNA
Rfam family: Bacterial small subunit ribosomal RNA
Source: RNAcentral
AACGAACGCUGGCGGCAGGCCUAACACAUGCAAGUCGAGCGAGAUCUUCGGGUCUAGCGGCGGACGGGUGAGUAACGCGUGGGAAUAUGCCUCUUGGUACGGAAUAGCCUCGGGAAACUGGGAGUAAUACCGUAUGUGCCCUUUGGGGGAAAGGUUUAUCGCCAAGAGAUUAGCCCGCGUUGGAUUAGGUAGUUGGUGGGGUAAUGGCCUACCAAGCCGACGAUCCAUAGCUGGUUUGAGAGGAUGAUCAGCCACACUGGGACUGAGACACGGCCCAGACUCCUACGGGAGGCAGCAGUGGGGAAUCUUAGACAAUGGGGGCAACCCUGAUCUAGCCAUGCCGCGUGAGUGAUGAAGGCCUUAGGGUUGUAAAGCUCUUUCAGCUGGGAAGAUAAUGACGGUACCAGCAGAAGAAGCCCCGGCUAACUCCGUG